GCCGGGUUCUUAUAAAGAGCAUUACUUAAAUAUACCGUUGCGUAAAGUUAACUUUUCUACCCAUUGCCAUUUAUACGUUGUUAAACGUUUAAUAUUGCGCUUUUUUAUUUAUAAUUCGUCUAUUAAUAUCUUCCUAAAAAUUCUACUGGGAGACCAUUUGUUUAAGCUUUAAAUCUAACACUUUGAGAUGAAAUAAAGAAAACAAUAUGAUUAUAACAUGCAUUGAUAAAAAAUGAGGUAAAACAACAAAACAGUUUGAACUAAAAUAAAAGUCAAUAUUAUACAAAUAAAUAAAAAA
Molecule: long non-coding RNA, 298 nt
Filed under: Mytilus galloprovincialis (Mediterranean mussel)
Lineage: Eukaryota; Metazoa; Mollusca; Bivalvia; Mytilida; Mytilidae
Source: RNAcentral